RNAcentral lists this unclassified non-coding RNA (1197 nucleotides) under Hevea brasiliensis (rubber tree). The record is from RNAcentral. Lineage: Eukaryota; Viridiplantae; Streptophyta; Magnoliopsida; Malpighiales; Euphorbiaceae.
AAGGGGUCUAAGACAGGGUGGCAACCCAUGUCAAGAAACUGGGGCCAGAACUGGCAAAGCAAUGCAAUCCUCAAUGAGCAAAGCCUAUCUUUUCAGGUCACCACAAGUGAUGGUAGGACAGUGACAAGCUACAAUAUUGUGCCUGCUAACUGGCAAUUUGGGCAAACAUUUGAGGGUGGUCAAUUUUAGAGUUCUUUUUCAGGACAAGCAACUUAAUUUAUUUGCUAGUAUUGUAGAAUUGUUUGCGAGGAUGGGAGGGGGUUUAGGGUAUAGGAGAAGGUUGGCCCAUGUGGCUGGCUGUUGCUGAGGUGGUAUAUUGGCACCCGCUAGGCCUUUUUUUAUAACAAGAAAAAUGAAAUGAUUGUGAGAUGUUAGUUCUCCCCAAUUUGGUUUUUAAUCCCAGUUGGGGUAAUUUAUGUAACAAAUAUAUAUAUAUAUAUAUAGUGUUUACAUUUGGCAUGCAUGUUAAUUUAGAGUUUACAGAAAUGAACACUGGGACAAAAAUCAUGAUUUAAGGGGAUUGAACCGAACCGAGUUGAGUUUGGGUUCGGUUUAUUGUAUAAUCCUAAAUUGUCAAGUAGGUAGCUCUUUCAAUUCUAUCAACAGAAAAUCAAAGCAAGUUCUUCCAUUUAAUUCAGCCAAACUUAAUUAUAACUAUACAAGAAAGAAAAUAAACAAAUCAUCUAAACUAGCAUACUUCAAAUUAAAAAGCCGAAUCUCACUCUACGACUCAAAGCCUCAAUUAAUCAAAAAAUGCAUACACAAUUCAGCAACAUUCAAAAGAAAGGCACAUCUCCGUUAUAAAGCAAAUCCAGCUUAUGACCUGUGAUAUUUAAGGAAAUUAAGCAAUACCCAGAUAGGAAUUUGGACAGACAAAGCUUAAUCAAUAGAAUUAAGAACAUAACCAGAUGCAAAGAAUAGAAAGCUAGCCAACUUUAAUCAAUUUUAUAUAUGAACCCAUAUUAAAAUUUGCAGAUAUUAAGCAGUGGGGCCAUAUAAUUAUGAUUCAAUUACCUAAACCAAGCACCAUUACACAGAGAAAGAGAGAGAGAACGAGAGAGAGAGUCUAAUUUCAGUUGAUCAACAGAUAAAUUUUAAUAGCUUGGUAAAGGAAAAUCAUAAAAACCCAGGAAGACAUUUGAGUAAAAAAGUCAAUAGGGCAGCGAAAAUCAGAACGAACUUAGAAAAAAAAAAAAG